RNAcentral lists this ribosomal RNA (253 nucleotides) under uncultured bacterium. Its description in RNAcentral is "partial 16S ribosomal RNA". It matches the Rfam family "Bacterial small subunit ribosomal RNA", at positions 524 to 776 of the family's 1533-position model. The record is from RNAcentral.
UACGUAGGGUGCGAGCGUUAAUCGGAAUUACUGGGCGUAAAGCGUGCGCAGGCGGCGCGUUAAGACAGGUGUGAAAGCCCCGAGCUUAACUUGGGAAUUGCGCUUGUUACUGGCAGGCUUGAGUGUGGCAGAGGGGGGUGGAAUUCCACGUGUAGCAGUGAAAUGCGUAGAGAUGUGGAGGAACACCGAUGGCGAAGGCAGCCCCCUGGGCUAACACUGACGCUCAUGCACGAAAGCGUGGGGAGCAAACAGG